UUAGAGAGAAGAACAAAAGCAUGCAGUGAACGUGAGGGCCACAGACCUGCUGGAUUCAUGAGCAGCUCAACCUUAAUGAUGCACCGAGACCAUCACUGCUCAGCUCCAUCUUUCAUUUAUGAGGGAGAGAGAGAGAGAGAGAGCGAGAGGGGCUAGGAUGAGGCCGAUUCAUUAAAGAUUAAUUAAGACAAAUGCAGGGACAACACUUACCUCCAAUCGCUUCAGUGAUCUCCACAAACUCUCUGUUACACACAUACAGCGAGGGAUAGAGGGAGAAUGAACAGAGACAGAUGCCAGAGGAAAAUGACAGCAGACGCUCAGUAUCUCACAAAGGGAGAUUAACAAUAAAAUACAGUAAAAUAAAAUAAACUAAGAAAAAGUAUGUGUAUAGGUAUUACUGGGCUGUUCUCUGCAGAAUUUUGUUCUGGCUUCAAAGGUAAAAAACAACAACAAAUUUAUAUAUAAAAAUACGUUUAAAAAAAAUUAAAUAAACAAAAAAAGGUUUAGUGUUGAGGUCUAUAGUAAUGAUGUGCCCCCAUUUAGCUUGGUGUGUCUGUGUAAUGUUGUUUUUAGUUAUUUCUAAGUUUGUGGUGUGUGAGGUGUGUGUGUGUGUGUGUGUGUGUGUGUGUGUGUGUGUGUGUGUAUGUGUGUGUGUGUGUGUGUGUGUGUGUGUGUGUGUGUUGGUUUUUGUGGUUUACAAGGACUUUUGACCUGAAUACGCACCAGCAUUACAGGGACAUUUGGGUUUAUGAGGACAGGGCCCAUGUCCUUAUAAUUCCGACAGUGUAUAUGCCUUUCUCUAUGUCCCAGAAGCUCCCUCUCAAAUUUUCGCGCCAUGUCCUAAUAUACCACAAAACCCUGAAAUUUUACUAUACACUGUGUAUCCUCCGAACUCGGGAGUGCGCCCCUGCAGCCCGGACCCGGUACUGCAUCCGCGUCAUCGAAAAUUUGCAUAUUUUACACUUGUGUAAGUUUGGAGGCCGCUGAUUGGCUAGAUCGGCACCGGAGGGCGGGAAAUCGCGAAAACAAAAUGGCGGCGGUGGGCGGGGCUACAUUCUGCCGCUAAUAGCUCCGUACAACGAGGCAAGGGUGUCGGUUUGUAACUUCCUGUUUGGACCGGACGCAAUCUGUGCACCUGAAGUGAAGACAUCUGCGGUGUGAAGCUGUUGGAGACAACUAUUAUAUGAAAGCAGACACAGAGGAUGGCUGAAGGUGCGAGGCGAAGGAGAAAGCUGAGGCCAUACAGUGUUCACUUCAACAGAAAGACCAGAAUGGGCUCAAGGGCAGGUUCAUCACUGAUCUUAAAGGUGACUCUGAAGAAGGACCGGUUACUAUUGGAUGAUCAGGACUGUGUUGAAUGUCACCUGUCAAAGAGCAUGUGUUGAAUGAGGAGCAGAGCUUUUGUGCCCCAGUUGAAGGAGUUAAGGAGAUGAGAUCAACAUGACAGAUUCUGAUGACGCUGAUCCUGAAGAAAGUGAUUCUGAUGAUGAGGCUCUUGCUGGAGCUGCGGGAGACUCCAGUAAUGCUGGUGUUCAGAAGAUGCCCAUUGAGAGCACCACUGAAGUUCCUGAAGAGAGUGAGAGUGAGGCAGAAACUGAAAACACACGGAGAGGGCAGAAAGUGUCCUGGUCAAACACUGAAGUUACAGCUGUAAUCAAACAUUUUAAGGACCACAGAGCUAAAGGAAAACUGGCCACAAUGACUGAAAACCAGCAGUGUAAAACUGCUGAGGAUCCUGUUUUGGUGAGAUGCAGUGCACAGAACAUACAGGAUUUUGUAAGAAAUCGAGGAAUUAUCUUAAAAAGGAAAACCCAAAGCAAGUGAUGUUACAGUACAUCCUGUGUCUUGAUGCCAUUCUAUUAUCAUGAGCACUUUGGUUGUUGUUUUUAUUUCCAAUAGUGCAAAACUGUUAUAGCAGCAGUUCAUACAAAUAUCUCCAUGUAGAAAACAAGUUCAAUUGUUAGUUUGUCAAAAACUUUUCAUUCUGGAAGUGAACGAUUCCUUUACAGAUAAAUCAGUUUCUCUACACAUCUGCAGCAUGUAUUGUGUGCUCAGAGUUAAUCGCAUGUUUACUUUUUCAUUCUGGAAGUGAACCAUUCCUUUAAGGAUCAAUCAGUUUCUCUACACAUCUGCAGCAUCUAUUGUGUGCUCCGAGUUAAUCUCAUGUUUACUGUGUGUUUAGUAGGGAUGCACUGAUCAUGAUUUUUCAUAGACGAUACCGAUAUUUAUUUAUUUUUACAAGCAAACUGGCCGAUUCCGAUACAGAUUUCCGAUUAUUAUUAUUAUUAUUAUAUUAUUUUUUUUAA
This is a long non-coding RNA of Carassius auratus (goldfish), 2306 nucleotides long. RefSeq lists it as uncharacterized. The transcript has 8 exons. Lineage: Eukaryota; Metazoa; Chordata; Actinopteri; Cypriniformes; Cyprinidae. The record is from RefSeq and is a predicted model, not a curated record.